RNAcentral lists this small RNA (1688 nucleotides) under Octopus sinensis (East Asian common octopus). RNAcentral describes it as "uncharacterized LOC115213125". The record is from RNAcentral. Lineage: Eukaryota; Metazoa; Mollusca; Cephalopoda; Octopoda; Octopodidae.
CAUACCAGUAAUCUGGAGUCUAUAAAAUAAAGUAUGAAGCAAGUAUUUAGAUCAAUUUAAUGGUAUAUACCCAAUUCUAAAAUGUGGUCUUGUGCAAAGUCAGAAAUCAAUUCAAAGAAUUUUUGGAAUUUCUGAAAUUGAAAUCUUUAUUAUUUUUUUUCCUAAGGGGCAUAACUCUUAAUGCAUAUUUACAAAUCCUGAUGUCUACGACAGCCAAGGUUACGAUCGGUUUAUCAGUGAUAUUCACAGCCUCAAUUGUUACUUAUGUACAUCUUUCACAAAUUUUGGAUAGAAAGAAAAUGAAGGCUGGCAUUUUGAAUGAUGUAAAUAAGGAACAGAAGAAAAUUCAAAAUCUGAAAAUGUUGCAAACACAAGCAGAACUGAAGAGAGCCUAUGAACGAGAGGCUAAAAAUGCAGAGAGCUGAAUAAAUUAAACAUUUACAUUUGGAUUAAGUAAUUUAUAAAUAUAUAUAUAUAUAUAUGUAUUUUAACAGGUCGCAAAUCUUGGCAGAGGAGUGGGUUAAAUCAAAUUAGUAUGUACCUAUUGAUCUUGGAAGUAUUGAACUCAGACUGGAUAAGGAUGUAACUAAAUAUCACAAGGCAUUUUGUUUGCCAUACUACUGAUCCUGUUGUCAUAUACUUACUUUUCCAGUUACCUUUUAUGGGUUACUGGGCAACUACAAAAUACUUCAUUUUUAUGAAGUGUCAAAAAAGGAGCAAGAUAGCCUGGUGAAAUUAAGCUGAAAACUUUAUCAAUUGUUAUUCUGAUUUUUUUCCGAUCUUCAGAAGAAUGUGAUACAUAUACAUACAUACAUUUAUAUAUAUAUAUAUAUGUCUGAUUAAUCCGGACUGUUGCCAUAGUAACAAAGCUAAAGCAUGCAGAGUGAAGCCGCUUGGCAAAGAUUGACCUUGAACUCUGCUGUGCAUGUGCACUAAGUUUUAACAUUCCUGCUCAUUUCUUCUGUUUACAGCGGUGCUUGGAAGAAAGGCAUGUAGCAUGUGAUUGUUGCAUUGACCAUGACAGAGAAUGUUGUCACGGCAAUGAGAGAACCACAACCAGCAGAAGUGAGAAAAACAUUGCAGAUGUGCAUGCAGCCUUGAGGGAAAAUCGUCAAAUCACCAUUUGUUAGUUAUCAGAGCAUGUGCAGAUUAGUUAUGGUUCAGUUCAGUCCAUUAUCACUGAAGAUUUGGGUAUGAGAUGCAUGUCUGCCAAGUUUGUGGCAAAACUGCUUUCAGCUGACCAAAGAGACACCUGCAAGAUCGAUCUCCUUGAUUGUUUCAAGUAUGGUGGAAACUUUUUGAAAACUUUGCAUGGGGCUCUGAGCAGGUAUCGCCAAGCUUUUGGCAAAAUUUGAUGCAGAUUCUCUACUUAACUUUCUCUGUUAUUGUCAAUGUGAUGAUCACAUGUUACACACCUUCCUUCCAAGCACUGCUGUAAACAAUAGAAGUGAGCUAGAAUGUUAAAACUUAGUGCGCAUGCACGCCAGAGUUUAAGGUCGAUCUGUACCAAGCGGCUUUACUCUGCAUGCUUUAACAGUCUGGAUACUUAUUGAUCAGACCACGUAUAUAUAUAUAUAUAUUGAGAAAGAGGGGUACACAGAUAAAUAUGGUUGGGCUAUAAAAAAACACAACCAUCUACAAGAUUUGUUUAUAAAUAAUGUUUCAAUGAAAUAAAAUAUUGCAUGCCA